CCUUGUCCUGAAUUCGAAGCGAAUCUCGUUGCGAUACAGCAGCUCCACCUUGGUGUUGAGUCUGCAGCGAAUUUAUCGCCUAAAGUUAGUAUGAACACCCAAUCCACUGGAGGCUGAUUUGGCCGUCAACCGUAAUUGGCUGCACUAAUCAACAGCUCCGUAAUAUGCCAGCUGCAGUAUAUUACAUGACGCUACCUGGCUACCAUCAUACCUCGGUUGGCGGUUGCGCAUGCUAGGAAAGGCAACCAUCCACGGUUGACGGCUUAAUAAGACUCCAGUGGAUUGGGAGAUCAGUCUAACUUUAAGCGAUAAAUUCAUUGCCGACUCAACACCAAUCCUCCUUGUACUUUUAAUUGUGGAUUUAGCUUCGCAAACGUCCAGCGGCAUGGGAAAGCGCAAAAGCAGCGCCAUGGAAGCUACUGAAUCUGGAACGCAAAAUGCUAACAUGGAUCAGUCACUUCCAGCUAACGACAGUGACUUCUCACCACUAUCUAGCAGCACUCCAAAGAAAAUGACUGUAAAAGAUAGAGGCCACACAGGAAACAAAAUUCGAUCAUUUUCCGCUUCCGUUGUUUCUGAAGAUGAUCCCGAAGCUACAAAACGUGCCAUUCAUCAUCGUUUCGGAAAACUCAGCCAAGACGACACCAAUGUAAGCGAAUCCAACAAGAUCAUAAAAUGCGGGAAGUGUUAUGCGGCUCUUAUUCCGGACAACAAAGAUAAACCGUGGUUGCGCUGCACAGUCUGCCAACAUGCGUUCCAUCAUAUGUGCGCAUCGUAUGUGUCACCUCGUGUUACCCGAUCAGGAAAACCACCACCAAAACAGAAACCUUGGAAUUGUCCGUACUGUUCUAAGCGAUAAAAACUAAUUACUAAUAAUUAUCGAUUAAUUAUCGAUUAAUUAUGAAAUAUCGAUUUUUGCAGUUAGCUCUUCAUAUGCUUAGCUAAAAUGCUCUAAAUUAUAGAUUUGAUUUUCUGCAGUGCUUCUGUGUUUUCCCAUUUUACCGAAUUAAUUAGGCAUAAAAUGUCGUAAAACCUUU
Molecule: long non-coding RNA, 1037 nt
Organism: Paramacrobiotus metropolitanus
Lineage: Eukaryota; Metazoa; Tardigrada; Eutardigrada; Parachela; Macrobiotidae
Exons: 3
Source: RefSeq, a predicted model, not a curated record